Long non-coding RNA from Lycium barbarum (goji berry), 1034 nucleotides. RefSeq lists it as uncharacterized. The record is from RefSeq and is a predicted model, not a curated record. The transcript is spliced from 2 exons. NCBI's taxonomy places the organism in Eukaryota, Viridiplantae, Streptophyta, Magnoliopsida, Solanales, Solanaceae.
GCACCGCACCUUUAUUCUCUCUUCUCUCUCCGCCAAAAAUGGAAGAAAUGUAGAAAUAAUAGAGAAAAUGUAUCUUUUGCAUGUCUAUUAUGGUGAAACAAUUAAUGUUUCACUUGAUUUCGCGAAAACAUAUUUCAAACACGGUAAUAAAUCGCCUCUUUGCUCUAUUUUUUUAUUUGUUCAAGUUAAAUCUGUGAUUUGUGUGCUUUAUUGUUGUACCUUACUUGAGACUCAUUGGUUGAACAAGAAUGAAUCAGAUCGAGUCCAGAUCUGACCAUUCGUUGUUGAUUCGAGUUAAUCUGAGCUGUAUGAAGGCUUAUAAAGGAUAAUUUUGGGGAAAUUUGAUUUGUCCCAAAUCAUGUGUUUAAUUCCUUGAAUGAACUUUGGGGUUCUAUAAAUAGAACCCCAACCCUCUCACCAAAACAAUAAUAAUAAUAAUAAUAAUAAUACUAAUAAAUUAAAAGAGAGAGAGAGAGAGAGAGAGAGAGAGAGAGAGAGAGAGAGAGAGAAAAGAGGAGAUUUUUUUAGAGGUUUUUGGAAGUUAAAAAAUUUCUUGACAACCUUAGAGCCUUGAUUUGAGCAUAAAACUCAAAGCCUAGGCUCAUAGUAAAAUUUUAAAGAUUUGGCCUUGCUCUAGGGUUUUGGUCUUUCUUUAGUUCUGAAAUAUUUGUUGUUUUCUUUCAUUUUCUUUGUGGUUUGAGUCGGAGUUUGGAAGCACAAAGGCUCCAAGUUCAACUCUUGAUAUCGCUGCGCCUAAAAAAGUCUUGCCACCCUAUUGGGCCAAUAGGAAAGUUCUUUCAAAAUUAUUGAGUCCGAGAAAAAGAAAGGGAAGCUAGUAUAUAUUUGAAAGCCCAGUCAAGGGUGAAAAUUACAUGAAGGCCCAACCAUGGGUAAAAAUGGUUAACUAGGGGUUUGGUACACCCCUAGUCUAUCCUUCCUACAUUAUUUAUGCAAUUCCAUUUUUUUUUUUAAUGUUGUAUUGUAUUCAUACUUGUAAAAACCACAUUAUGAUUGGAAUCGGUUAUGGUUUGAAC